GAGGCAGCAGUGGGGAAUAUUGCACAAUGGGGGAAACCCUGAUGCAGCGACGCCGCGUGAGUGAAGAAGUACUUCGGUAUGUAAAGCUCUAUCAGCAGGGAAGAAGAUGACGGUACCUGAGUAAGAAGCCCCGGCUAACUACGUGCCAGCAGCCGCGGUAAUACGUAGGGGGCAAGCGUUAUCCGGAUUUACUGGGUGUAAAGGGAGCGCAGACGGUUGCGCAAGUCUGAAGUGAAAUCCCGAGGCUUAACCACGGGACUGCUUUGGAAACUGUGCGACUUGAGUAUCGGAGGGGCAGGCGGAAUUCCUAGUGUAGCGGUGAAAUGCGCAGAUAUUAGGAAGAACACCGGUGGCGAAGGCGGCCUGCUGGACGAAAACUGACGUUGAGGCUCGAAGGCGUGGGGAGCAAACAGGAUUAGAUACCCUGGUAGUCCACGCGGUAAACGAUGAAUACUAGGUGUUGGUGCCCAAAGGGCAUCGGUGCCGUCGCAAACGCAAUAAGUAUUCCACCUGGGGA
This 517-nucleotide ribosomal RNA is filed under the name uncultured bacterium. RNAcentral's name for it is "bacterial SSU rRNA". It matches the Rfam family "Bacterial small subunit ribosomal RNA", at positions 345 to 879 of the family's 1533-position model. The record is from RNAcentral.